This 1385-nucleotide long non-coding RNA is filed under the name Mus musculus (house mouse). RNAcentral describes it as "predicted gene, 36279". The record is from RNAcentral. Lineage: Eukaryota; Metazoa; Chordata; Mammalia; Rodentia; Muridae.
AGUCGUCGGAGAUGGAGAGGCGGCUGAAGAUGGGUAGGCGACGGCCAGGGUCCAGGCUGGGGGACUCGGAGCCGCUGAGGCUGCCGGAGCUCAGCGAGCCGCUCAGAUGUUCCGUGAGAUAUGAAACCACCCCAUCUUAUAGAUGCUGAAACUGACACCACAGAAUGAUGCCAACUAAGUCAGAAGGGAAGUGACUUCUGACUGCAGUCUGACAAUACAUGAAAGACCCUAACACUCUGAGUGACCGCCACAGUGACCCGGCCGGGCAGUACUCACACUGAGGGUCAGAGGUGAUGAGGUUUAUGAGUGAGUAGAGCAUCUUGCUAAGACAUUUUACUAAGCUGUGGAGAAAUCAAGUCAGGAUGGUGGCAGGGCAGAUCACACACCUCCUGCCAUGGUCCUCUUUGUUGCCUCUUGGUCUUUGAGAACUGAGACUUCUCUUCAGCUGAGAGUAUUCUAUCCCCAGUCCUCGCCAGAAACUAAAACCUAACUCCACCGGCCUCCUGCUGGACUCUGAGGAACAUGCUCCAUGGAGGACUGAAGUACCAGUGUGACCUGACCUAAGCCUGCAAGGCUCAUUAUGGCUCACAAGGGAGGCUGCACAGGAAAGCCCACCACCCUGAGGUCCAGAUCCACCUGCCUUUCCACAACCAAAGAGAGCUACAGAAACCAGGUCACAGUCUGAUGCAAGCCACUCUAGGUGCUAACCUGUCAGCUACCUUGCUGAUGCAAGAUAUUCUCUAUCCUGAAAAUCUCUAUCCUUAAAAAGCUUCUGGUGUGGGUGAGCCGAUGAGACUCCUGACCAACAAACACCAGAACUGAAGAAGGUGGGUGUGACCAAAGUCGUCUGAGUUCUGAUGUCCAAAAGGCCAUGUGGAAAAGGAGGUCCAAGGAGCUGGCUAGGCCUUAGGAACCUAAGACUAAUGGGCUGACUUAGCACAGGCCAUGACAACACUCCCACAGACAUGAAGUAGGUAUAGGCAGGGUGACUCUAAAAGGACCUGGGACUCUACCCAUUCUUGGGUCUUUCCACAGUGUCACUCUGCCAUAUCCCUCCUGCAUGUCUUUAUUCUUUAGCCUCUACUAGGUGCUGUCACCCAGUCACUUCUCUUCCCAUCACUUCUAACGAUAUGGUGAUUGUAAUUGCAAGGUGUGUGUGCUUGUCUUCUAAGUAAGCCUUUACAUUUCAGGCAAUGGAUGGGGCUAAAAUGUCACACGGAUCCACAUUCACUUGAUUUUAUUUUAUUUUUUUAAUUUUGAGACAGGAUUUCUGUGUAGCCCUGGCUAUCCUAGAACUCGCUCUAUAAACCAAGCUGGCCUCAAACUCACAGAUAUCCACCUGCCUCUGCCUCUCAAGUACUGGGAUUAAAUGUGUGUGUCACUAC